CCUACGGGUGGCAGCAGUGGGGGAUAUUGCACAAUGGGGGGAACCCUGAUGCAGCGACGCCGCGUGGGUGAAGAAGCGCCUCGGCGUGUAAAGCCCUGUCAGCAGGGAAGAAAAUGACGGUACCUGAAGAAGAAGCCCCGGCUAACUACGUGCCAGCAGCCGCGGGAAUACGUAGGGGGCAAGUGUUAUCCGGCUUUACUGGGUGUAACGGGGGCGCAGACGGCGAUGCAAGCCAGGAGUGAAAGCCCUGGGCACAACCCCGGGACUGCUCUUGGAACUGCGCGGCUGGAGUGCAGGAGGGGCAGGCGGAAUUCCUGGUGUAGCGGUGAAAUGCGUAGAUAUCAGGAGGAACACCGGUGGCGAAGGCGGCCUGCUGGACUGCGACUGACGUUGAGGCCCGAAAGCGUGGGGAGCAAACAGGAUUAGAUACCCGGGUAGUC
This 440-nucleotide ribosomal RNA is filed under the name uncultured bacterium. Its description in RNAcentral is "partial 16S ribosomal RNA". It matches the Rfam family "Bacterial small subunit ribosomal RNA", at positions 338 to 795 of the family's 1533-position model. The record is from RNAcentral.